GCCCUGGUAUCCCAAUUGGUAGAGGAGACAGCCUCAAAAUCUGUACAGUGUGGGUUCGAGUCCCACCCGGGGCAC
Molecule: transfer RNA, 75 nt
Filed under: Galliscardovia ingluviei
Lineage: Bacteria; Bacillati; Actinomycetota; Actinomycetes; Bifidobacteriales; Bifidobacteriaceae
Description: tRNA-Leu
Rfam family: tRNA
About the family: Transfer RNA (tRNA) molecules are approximately 80 nucleotides in length. Their secondary structure includes four short double-helical elements and three loops (D, anti-codon, and T loops). Further hydrogen bonds mediate the characteristic L-shaped molecular structure. tRNAs have two regions of fundamental functional importance: the anti-codon, which is responsible for specific mRNA codon recognition, and the 3' end, to which the tRNAs corresponding amino acid is attached (by aminoacyl-tRNA synthetases). tRNAs cope with the degeneracy of the genetic code in two manners: having more than one tRNA (with a specific anti-codon) for a particular amino acid; and 'wobble' base-pairing, i.e. permitting non-standard base-pairing at the 3rd anti-codon position.
Source: RNAcentral